CCCUCUUUCUCCCGCUUUUUUCGGAUUCAUUGGGCGUAAAGGGUGCGUAGGUGGCGCCAUAAGUCAGGUGUGAAAUCUCGGGGCUCAACCCCGAAACUGCACUUGAUACUGUGGUGCUCGAGUACUGGAGAGGAGAUUGGAAUUUACGGUGUAGCAGUGAAAUGCGUAGAUAUCGUAAGGAAGACCAGUGGCGAAGGCGAAUCUCUGGACAGUUACUGACACUGAGGCACGAAGGCCAGGGGAGCAAACGGGA
Molecule: ribosomal RNA, 253 nt
Filed under: uncultured prokaryote
Description: partial 16S ribosomal RNA
Rfam family: Bacterial small subunit ribosomal RNA
Source: RNAcentral